AUUGAACGCUGGCGGCAUGCUUUACACAUGCAAGUCGAACGGUAGCGCGGGCUUCGGCCUGGCGGCGAGUGGCGAACGGGUGAGUAAUGCAUCGGAACGUGCCCAGUAGUGGGGGAUAGCCCGGCGAAAGCCGGAUUAAUACCGCAUACGACCUGAGGGUGAAAGCGGGGGACCGAAAGGCCUCGCACUAUUGGAGCGGCCGAUGUCGGAUUAGCUAGUUGGUGGGGUAAAGGCUUACCAAGGCGACGAUCCGUAGCUGGUCUGAGAGGACGGCCAGCCAACCUGGGACUGAGACACGGCCCAGACUCCUACGGGAGGCAGCAGUGGGGAAUUUUGGACAAUGGGGGCAACCCUGAUCCAGCCAUGCCGCGUGCGGGAAGAAGGCCUUCGGGUUGUAAACCGCUUUUGUUCGGGAAGAAAUCCUCUGGGCCAAUACCCCGGGGGGAUGACGGUACCGGAAGAAUAAGCACCGGCUAACUACGUGCCAGCCGCCGCCGUAA
RNAcentral lists this ribosomal RNA (500 nucleotides) under uncultured bacterium. RNAcentral's name for it is "partial 16S ribosomal RNA". It matches the Rfam family "Bacterial small subunit ribosomal RNA", at positions 28 to 523 of the family's 1533-position model. The record is from RNAcentral.